Molecule: RNA transcript, 7624 nt
Organism: Pistacia vera
Lineage: Eukaryota; Viridiplantae; Streptophyta; Magnoliopsida; Sapindales; Anacardiaceae
Gene name: AT-rich interactive domain-containing protein 1A-like
Exons: 9
Source: RefSeq, a predicted model, not a curated record
CUUCACUGUACUCUCUAAAAAAAAAAAAAAAAAUAUUAAAGAAUCAGGAGCUUCGCUUUAGCUUCCCGAACAUUCCUCCCAGACUCGUAAGAACUAUUGCUCCCAAAAUCACUGUUUUGCAGGUAUGUUUGGUUAGGGUUUUAAGGUGCUGAUAAUUGAAACACUGAAGAGGGGAUUUUAGGUUGAGAGUGUUGACUCUGUUUGGGAGUCAAAGCUAAGUCCAUAGGACAGCAUGGGUUUCGAUAAUGAGUGCGUAUUGAACAUUCAAUCUCUAGCUGGAGAGUACUUCUGUCCUGUUUGUCGUCUACUUGUUUACCCAAAUGAAGCUUUACAGUCACAGUGCACUCAUCUGUACUGUAAACCGUGUUUGACAUACAUUAUCAGCACUACCCAGGCUUGCCCUUAUGAUGGCUAUUUAGUGACUGAAGCAGAUUCCAAGCCACUUGCAGAGUCAAAUAGAACACUUGCCGAAGCAAUUGGCAAGAUAACCGUUCAUUGUCUAUACCAUAGGAGUGGAUGUACGUGGCAGGGUCCUCUAUCUGAGUGUACAUCACAUUGUUCAGGGUGUGCCUUUGGAAAUUCGCCUGUUGUAUGUAAUAGGUGUGGAAUUCAGAUUGUUCAUCGCCAAGUACAGGAUCAUGCUCAAAAUUGUCCUGGUGUGCAGCCUCAAGCACAACAGGCAGUAGGUGUUCAGGAUGCUUCUGCAACAGGCACACCAGGUACAGCUGAUCAGACCCAGGCUGCCCCUCAGGCAGGGGUGACCACUUCUCUGAUCCAGACCCAAACAACUGCCAUCCCUCCAACUGGAAAAGAUGCUGGCCAACAAACCAACUCAAAUUCUCAGGCCCAAGCUGUUGUUCAGGCUGCAGUACCUUCUGCAGAGCAAUGGUAUCAACAGCAACAGCAAUAUCAGCAAUACUACCAGCAGUAUUAUCAACAAUACUACCCCUAUCAACAACAAGCGGUUCCACAAUAUCAGCAGCAGCAAUUGCAGGCUCAACCUCAGGGGUUUGUACAGCCACAGACACAGUCCCAAACUCAACCGCAACGUCAACCGCAUAUGCAGCCUCAACCCCUGGUUCAACCCCAAGCUCAGCCCCAGCCACAAAUUCAGCCCUCACAACCACCAGCUCAGGCACCUGUGACUGUGGUAACUCAACCUCUGAGUCUGACACAAGUCAACCCACAGCAGCAAACUCAUCUACCUCCGCAGGGCCAGCCACUUUCUCAGACUCAAUCUUAUCCUCAAGCUCAAGCUCAGUCUUAUGCCCAAGCUCAGGCUCAUCCACAACCUCAGCCCAUUCGGCCCCAUCCCCCAAAUAUGCAAAUGCCCCAGUAUCAACAACCUCUUUCUCAUAUGCAAAAUAAGCAACCCCAAAUUCAGCAUCCUAUUCCUCAGCCUCAACUUCAAUCUCAAACUCAGCAACAAACACAGGUCCAGUCCCAGUCCCAGACUCAUUCUCAACUCAACCCCCCAUUGCCCAACCAGACACAGACCCAGCAUACUGCAGCCCAUGCAGUAACAGGCCACCAUUCUUACCCACAGCCACAGCCUCAGCCUCAGCCUCAUCAGCAAAUACCAUUGAGUGGCCCACUACAACAUCCCAUGCUUCUGCAUCCACAUGGUGGAUCUUAUCCGCAAAUACAGAAUCAAUAUUCUCAACAAACUCCCCAGAUGCGUCCACCGCAACCUAAUGCUACAAUUCCGAAUCAGCAGCAAUCAGCAGUGUUACCUGCACCAGGUCAAGUGCCAAACAUUCCUCCAGCACAACAACCACCAGUUCACCCUCAUGUUCAUCAACCAGGACUUCCAGGACAUCAGCGUCCUGUUAUUCAGCCAAUGCAACAACCUAUGCCUCAACUGUAUGGGCAGCAGCAGCCGUCUUUUACAGGACAGUAUCAGCAAGUUCCCUUUGCACAGCAACAUCCAUCUGUGCAAUCCCAGUUGCGUCCACAGGGUCCACCUAAUUCAUUCCAGCAGCCUUCUCAUCCCUAUUCACAGCCACAGCCGAAUGUUGCACUUUUGCAUGGUAUGCAACCCCAUCAGUACCAAAAUAUUGUAGGACGGCCUAUGAAUCCUAAUCAUGCAGCACAAUCCCAACCAUAUCAACAAUCUGCAGCAGGUCUGCAGGGUAGAGCAAUUCAGUAUGGUUUAAACCAACCUUUUUCAAAUCAGAGUAACGUGCUCGGGACCAACAACCAAAUGCAAUUGUCUUCUGAAAAACAGUCUGCGGCAACAUUAGAACAAGCAAUAUCUGAGAAGCAAGACAUUGCUGAGAAAAGUGAAGAUGAGAAAAAAGUAGAACCAUCUUCUCAGAAAACUGCAAAAACUGAUGGAAAUACAUUGAAUGCAGCUUCUGGUCCUCAAGCUGAUGCAGUAGGUAUGAAAGUCCCCAAAUCUGAAAGUGAUGUAAAGUUGAUGGUUGAUGAGAUCAAAGCUGAAGUUGAAGAUAAAACUAAUCCAGUUGAUACUUCUGCUAAGGAGUUUGUCACAGAUCUGGAGUCAGGUGCAUCAGGAAAUGCAGUGCCUGGAAUUAAGCUGGUGGUUAAGGAAGAGGUUGUAGAAAAUAUUGGGGACUAUAAAGAUUCAGCUAAUGUUGACUGCAAACAAGUGGGACAUUCUGUGUUGGAAGAAAAGGAAAUUCAGAAUGGUUCUCUACAGAAAAGUUCCCCAUUACAGGUAGGUUCACAACUUGGAGAACAGAGUGGGAUGCUGCAGAAAGGCAAAACUUUGCCUCAAGGUCCUGCAUUAGUACCUCCAGCUGGUCAGGUGCAACCUGGAGGUUCUGUGCUGUCCCCUUCAACACAUUAUGGGUCCUCAACUCUUCAACAAAGGCCUACUGCACCGUCAAUGUUCCAAGCACCACAUCCAGGACCAUUACAUCACACACAGGGCCUGGGGAACCCUCCUACACAGUUUAGGCCACAGGGCUCUAGUCAUGUAUCACAUCCAGGACAAUCUUUAAUGCCUGCUGAUAAUUUCCAGCCACCUAUAUUCAAGCCCCAUGGUCCUGAAAUACCUCCAGUUGGCAUUUCAGGCUCAGCCGCUGCAGCAGCCUUUGGAAGGGGAGCAGGUCAUCAUGGUCCUCCUCAGCAUAGCUUAGAACCACUGACGGCACCUCAUGGGCCUUAUAAUCAAGGUCAUCUGCCCCCUUCCCAUUUUGGGGCUCCCAGAAUAUCACAAAGUGAUCCUGUUGGAGGGCUGCCACUGAGGCCAGUACCACCUGGUGCAUUUGACUCACAUGGUGGAAUGAUAGGAGGGCCAUCGUAUGGCCCUGAAGGUCAGAGGCCGGGCUACUUGGAUGGAAGACGACCUGAUUCUCAUCUACCAGGCUCACUGGAACAAAGUCCUUAUGGGCAGCUGUCUGGUUUACAGUCUAAUACGAUGAGAUUGAAUGGGGCCUCAGGCCUUGAGUUACCAGAUGAAAGAUUUAAGCCUUUUCUAGGUGAACGUCUGAAUCCAGUCCCAAUGGACCCAGCUCAAGGGGUUAUUGAUCGUGGAGAGCUUGAAGAAGAUCUCAAGCAAUUUCCUAGACCUUCUCAUUUGGAUACUGAGCCUUUUGCUAAACUUGGUGGUCGCUUUCCCUCAUCUAGGCCUCUAGAUAGGGGUCCUCAUGGUUUUGGUAUCGAUGUGGGACCAAAGCCAUAUGAUAGAGGAUUGAACUAUGAUCUUGGGUUGAAAUUGGAUCAUGUGCCUGGCUCUGCUCCGUCAAGAUUUUUGCCCUCCUAUGCUGGAGAAAGACCACCUGGUAUUCAUGAAGAUGCACCAGGGAGAUCAGAUUCUGCUCGUUCUCAUCCAGAGUUUCUUGGAGUAGGACCUAGAUAUGGACGCCGUCAUAUGGAUGGAUUGAGUCCAAGGAGUCCAGUUAGAGAAUUUCCUGGGAUAUCCUCACGUGCAUUUGGAAGCCUUCCUGGGAAUUUAGGUAGCAGCCACUCAGGCUUGGAUGAUAUUGACAGCAGGGAGUUCCGUCGAUUUGGUGAUCCAAUUGGCAAUUCAUUUCAUGAUAGUAGGUUUCCAGCUUUCCCAAGCCAUUUUCGCAGGGGUGAGUUUGAGAGGCCUGGUAGGAGUGGUGAUUUUGUUGGUCGAGAUUUUCUGCCUAACCAUUUACGGAGGGGUGAACAUUUAGGUCCUCAAAAUUUAAGGCUGGGAGAAACGGUUGGUUUUGGUGGAAUUCCCGGUCAUGCACGUAUGGGAGACUUGGGUGGGCCAGGAAACUUUCCUCAUCCAAGACUUGGUGAGCCUGGAUUCAGGAGCAGCUUUUCGCAUCAGGGUUUCCCAAAUGAUGGUGGAUUCUAUACAGGUGAUAUGGAGCCUUUUGACAACUCAAGAAAACGGAAGGCUCCAAGCAUGGGAUGGUGCCGCAUUUGUAAGGUUGAUUGUGAAACAGUGGAUGGUUUGGAUCUGCAUUCACAAACAAGGGAGCAUCAAAAGUUGGCUAUGGAUAUGGUUGUAAGUAUCAAGCAGAAUGCAAAGAAACAGAAAUCAACACCUGGUGAUCGUUCCAUACAUGAUGAUGCAAACAAGUCAAGAAAUGCAAAUCUUGAGGGCCGCGGGAAAAAGCAUUAAGGCAUGGUGAAAUGCUCCAAGUUGGAUCUUGUUGGUUGCUUGGCUGACCAGGGUUGAUUUUGUUCUUUUGGUUGCUGCCAUGUUAAGGAGAUGGUUUUUGGAACUGAAGUCAGUGGCAAUUUUUUCAAUUCGACCUGUCUUUUUACGGGAAAGCAGACAACAUAAAGGCUGAAAGUUCAGUGGAAAGGUUUACUCGACCAUCUUUUUUAGAUGUGGUAAGAUUGUGUUCAAUAUAAGGAUUUUCUUUUUUGUGAAUUCUUUGCUUUGCAGUACUGUUCUUUUGUAAUUGGUUUACUGGAGAUUCUAUCCUGUGUUUUGCAACACAUUUAAAUAUUUUUUCCACCAAGUGUUUUGCGGAGGAAACUUGUAGGUAGUUUCAUGAUCUUAAGAAACAUAAUUGACUUAGAGUUCAUUCAUAUUCAGUUGUAAGUGUUGUUGUAUCAAAGUUCAGAACCCUACCUUGGUGCUUUAGUGAUGGGACUCAUAUAUAAAAAAUGAAUCAGAUAUGUUCAAGUAUCCUGUGCUGUAUUCAAUAUUGCCUCUUGGUUUAUUAUGCAUUGAUGAACAUAUAAUUCAUUGAAACAGAGUUUAACUGGUUUGAGUGAAAGGACUUGUAAGCUUACUCCUAUUAGGCUUUUGUUAGGAAAGUCUCAGGUAAAGUGGGGUUGUGGGCUUCACUGAAUGUUCUGGUGACAAAGAUUGGUGCUUUAACUUUCUGUAAUGCCUGGACCCUUUUUUGUGCUAGAAUGAAAUUUUCACAGGCAUUGGUAAUAUAUUUGGUUUGUCUAUGUUGAAAUUUUUUUGUGUUUAUCUUUUUCCUAGACUUAUUGGUGGGUUAUAUCAAUAUGAUUGGCUUUUGCUUGGAGGGCUAGAAAAAUAUUAGGACUGUUGUAUAAUGAUGCAGUAUCUUCUAUUUUUGCAAUAUAGGGAUAUUGAAGGGUUUCUUUGUUGAAUUAUCUUUAGGUCUAGAUUCGAUUUUCUUUCUUUCUUUUGAUUUCUUUUAGUUGACUCUUUUGGAGAGGGGAAAAGUGAGAACGUAACACAAGUCUGAUAACAUGACAAAUCAACUAGAUUCAGCAUUUUCUGAUUUGCGGUUCCAGCUUACUAACUUUUUUGUCCUGAAUGAUUUUUUAUUUUGGCUAGACUUUCUCACUAGCAAGUCAUUUAACUUGAUCAAAUUAUACUUAGUUGCUCAGUUUCUUUUAGGCUAUUUUGUUUGACAGAUCUAAAUGAAUUUAAAUUUUAUCAUAUCUUGAUCUAUGUCAAACUAUCAAGUUAACCUUCCUUCUAUUUAAAGUUGAAGGAAAAAAAGAUGUAUGUCCUGUGUCUGGCAUGCUAGUUUUAUGUCAUUUAUUUGUUAUUUUAGGUUGUUUGCACAAAGAAUUGCUUGCUACUGCCCCACUACAUGAAGCCAAACUUUUUGAAGAUUCCAUCAAACUAUGUAGUAGUUAGUGACUGAAGAACCUAUUGAAGACACUAUUGAACUAACCAUUGGUUAGGGGCUAAAGAGCAAUUUAUCUCCUAGAAUGUUAUGCUUUAGAUACAAUUUUCUAGUUUUGUUAUCCUUUAGUAAGUUAUCAACAUUAACACUUCGGUGCUAGUAAUUGUGGUUCCAUCAUAUUCUCUAGGAAUAUCCUUCUUUGUUUAUAGUUUGUUAUAUGCUACAUCUGAAAAUAUUAAUGAGAAACCAAAACUUUAAAUGGCUCAUUGCCUGUGAUAUACACUCCUUAACUGAGAGUCUAACAAAAUAACUAUUGUCUGCCUCUGAUUACAACUUUGGUUAAGUUUUGCGAAUUUGGCUCCUUUGAGAAUCUGUUAAUGCUUCAUGGACCACUUUGUUAUACUUGUGAAAGUUGGGGCUUUCAUGGAAGUUAUAGACAGCCUUUGCAAUGUUGGAUGGCAAUUCUGGAAAGCAAAUCGUGCUUCUUCAUUUUGUUUGUACCAGGUUUGUGGAUUUAUUCUUGAGCAUUGUUUGUGAGGAUAUUCUUCUCAAUGGUAAUUUAUCACUUUCUUUCAAGUUUUAAGAAUUUUUCUCUACCGUGCUCUGAUUGUAUUGUGUUAUCAGUGUAUCUGGCUUAAAGAAAGAGAGUUUAAACACUGUUAUUUCUUCUGUCUGGUAGAACGCAGAGCCGAAAUUGACAUGAACUUUUGAUACAAGAUAGUGUAGGCAUGAUUUGGUAUCCUAGAUAAGCAUAAUGUGAAUAACUUAAGCUAUAUACUGUAGAACGCAGAGAAAGAGAGUUUAAGCACUGUUAUUUCUUCUGUCUGGUAGAACGCAGAGCCAAAAUUGACAUGAACUUAAACACGGUUAUUUGUUACCUUAUGUAUGUACUUCCGUCGAUGUUUGAUGAGGCCAUGAAGGUGCAUGUUAAUAGUGUGAGAAUUGGACCACUACUGAUGUGUCCCACUUUAGUUAAUAAUUAUUUUUAAUUUACUAAUACGUCAAGUUUCCCAUUGGAAACAAUGAUGGAUCAAAAAAAUGCUAUAUGCCUUAGUAUGGCAUGGCUAACUUAAGCUGUACACUGUAGGUGCUGAAUUUUGUAGAUACCAGAUGAUGCAGUGUUUGUGCCAAUUUGUGAAUAACUGGUGAAUAGAAAAUAUUUUCUAUUAAAAAAAAAACAAAGUUAUCCGAACAUAAUGUGACAAUUUUUCAGUCAAGUACAGUAGAAGAGUCUUGGACUAGGAAGAUUCCGCAUAAACUGUUUAUCAUAAACAUUAUUCGAAGAGUAAUACUAUGCUUAUAAUCUAAUUUCAUAACUUUUUUCUUAUAACCUUAUUGUGGCAAUUGAGUUGGCAACUAUCCCCUAAACUUUCAUCACACCCAAAUCACUAAAUGACUUUACUAAAUAUAAACGAUAGUUUCUUAAGGAUGAACGGUCGAUCUUUCAUAAGAAAUAUUUGUUCUUUAUGAAAAAACAAUUGUGCAUUUAUAAGGAAUUGUUGUUUUCUUAUUUGUUUCUUAUGAAAGAACAACCAUUUUUUUAUGAAUGGAACAAUAAUUUCUUAUGAAUGUAAGGUCGUUCGUUUCUAAGGAACGAUUGUUCAUGUUUAGUUAAA